GACAGAGGGUGCAAACGUUGUUCGGAAUUACUGGGCGUAAAGCGAGUGUAGGCGGUGUGGUAAGUCGGAUGUGAAAGCCCCGGGCUCAACCCGGGAAGUGCACCUCGAUACUGCCACGCUAGAGUAUCGGAGAGGUGGUGGAAUUCUCGGUGUAGAGGUGAAUUCGUAGAUAUCGGGGAGGAACACCGGUGGCGAAGGCGGUUCUCUGGGCCUGUACUGACGCUGAGGAGCGAAAGCGUGGGGAGCGAACAGG
This 253-nucleotide ribosomal RNA is filed under the name uncultured bacterium. RNAcentral's name for it is "partial 16S ribosomal RNA". It matches the Rfam family "Bacterial small subunit ribosomal RNA", at positions 524 to 776 of the family's 1533-position model. The record is from RNAcentral.